Molecule: long non-coding RNA, 1837 nt
Organism: Micropterus dolomieu (smallmouth bass)
Lineage: Eukaryota; Metazoa; Chordata; Actinopteri; Centrarchiformes; Centrarchidae
Exons: 2
Source: RefSeq, a predicted model, not a curated record
CUGCUCCUCCUGCUCCUCCUCUCCGGGUCCGACCGUCACAUUAAGUGUGGGUUCUGUAGAGAUACGGGGUUCUGAUGGCUCCACUGUUGAAUCCUGCUACAUUACAUCUUGUUUACAGUCAAUAUGAAGCUACGUGUCGGAACCAGGCCGAGCUAACGCCACGUUAGCUUCUUGUUAGCUGCUAGCUGUGUUCAUGAACACUGACCUGAACAUCGGUGCUAUCAGAGCUCGAGCCUGCUGUUUGUCCUCCGGGGACGUUGUUGCUCCGGGGCUCCGGGUCCUGGUUGUCCUCCUCCAUCCCGCUCUUGGUCCUGGUCUCUGAGAUCCAGUAGGUCUCCUGUGGGACUGACUGAGCUCUUCAGAUCAAGUCCUGCAGCCCGCAGACGUGACGGAAGUUGAACGACAUUGAAAACGUGAUGACGUUUUUCUCGGCCCACGUACAUCCUCCAGCUGCGGUCAGAUAUAUCUGGAUGUCUUAUGGCUGCAGAGUUCGCUUAAAGUGACUAUUUGUGGUCCUGCACAUCUGAAUAGCCGAAUGUUUCAUCUGUACCAUUUUCAGACAAAUGUCUCCACACAACGAGCUGAUAUCAAUGAGGAAGUGUUGUAGAAAGACUGGUGUGUCAUGUGAUGUUUGUUCUUCAACACACACACACAGAUGUGUAGUGAUGGUGUAACCCUCCCCUCCAUGUCUCUGCUGGGACGUCCUCACAGGCAGCAUGUUGUCUCUGGGUCAUUCUGCUUCCUCCGUCCUCCAGCCGGUGACCCAGAGACCCACCGAGCUCCUCCAUCAUCCAGGAUGUUCCCCUCACUUUCACAGAUGGAGCAGAGAGGAGCCCCAGCUGGAUCCUAUGAGGACGUCUUUUAACGGGCAGAAACAGGCUGCUUGUUGAUUGGUCGGCCGAUCUGAUGGACAGUAAAAGUGGAAAUUCUAAUAUUAAUAUUCCUCCAGAAGUGUAAAAGGGAAUAACAGCAGCAGCAGAGGCUCUGAACGUCUUCAUGAUGAUUCAGCAAAUGAAAAUGAAUCCAUGUGUGUGGAAUGACAAUGGCCGUCCUGGAUAACCAGUAUCAUGAAGCUGCUUAUGGACGACUGGCUCUGUUAACUCUGGGUUUUCCUUCCAGCUCUGAGUGUGUUGAGGUGAAACAGGACGAGUUGUUGGUUCCAACAACAUCAUCACAACCAUGAAGGAAGAGCUUCAUCUGAGACCUGCUGAAUAUUUAUUAGACAGAUUAUUGGACAGAUGCUGCAGGAAGCUUUCAGCUGGCAGGAGACACAAUAAGACUUUAAAACAUAGAAACAGGACUCUGAGACUAGAUCCAGGUCCACACAGGUUCCAGUAAAGACACUAGUCAUAGUCCAGUGAAGCCAACAGGUUGUUAGUAACAUUUGUUGCCAUUCGUGCAAGAUACGUUUGGUUUUAGCUGAAUUCCUUUCAACAUGAAUUGAAAACCCUUUUAAAAACCUUACAAACGACAGUUGACAAAGCAGCAACCAUAAACUAAACAUUUAGUUGAACAGGCUAUAUGUAGUUUUUCAAGGAAACCACUUACUAAUAAAUCAAAUGAUUAUUUUCUUUUUGUAAAUGAGCUCUAACUUCACUUAGAAAUGAAACACACACCUGUUUUCUCUGAUUCUUGCAACAGCCAAUAAUCUGCUAUUAUUGUCAACGGGCCGAGUCUCUCUCAGACCGCAGCCACAACACCGCAGCUAACGACAUGCACUCAUGCAGGCACGCAUGUAGGAUCUGGUUUGAAUAUCUCACUCAGUGUUAACAUCAUAUAGCUGAUCUUCACUGAAGAGCUGGAACAAGUUGAACACAAUAAAUAUGAGAUGCUGCCA